This 73-nucleotide transfer RNA is filed under the name Myotis brandtii (Brandt's bat). It matches the Rfam family "tRNA". From Rfam's summary of the family: Transfer RNA (tRNA) molecules are approximately 80 nucleotides in length. Their secondary structure includes four short double-helical elements and three loops (D, anti-codon, and T loops). Further hydrogen bonds mediate the characteristic L-shaped molecular structure. tRNAs have two regions of fundamental functional importance: the anti-codon, which is responsible for specific mRNA codon recognition, and the 3' end, to which the tRNAs corresponding amino acid is attached (by aminoacyl-tRNA synthetases). tRNAs cope with the degeneracy of the genetic code in two manners: having more than one tRNA (with a specific anti-codon) for a particular amino acid; and 'wobble' base-pairing, i.e. permitting non-standard base-pairing at the 3rd anti-codon position. The record is from Rfam by way of RNAcentral. Lineage: Eukaryota; Metazoa; Chordata; Mammalia; Chiroptera; Vespertilionidae.
GCCGGUUUGGCUCAGUGAAUAGAGUGUUGGUCUGUGGACUCAAGGGCCCCUGGUUCGAUUCCAGUCAAGGGCA